AUUGAACGCUGGCGGCAGGCCUAACACAUGCAAGUCGAACGGUAACAGGAAACAGCUUGCUGUUUCGCUGACGAGUGGCGGACGGGUGAGUAAUGUCUGGGAAACUGCCUGAUGGAGGGGGAUAACUACUGGAAACGGUAGCUAAUACCGCAUAACGUCGCAAGACCAAAGAGGGGGACCUUCGGGCCUCUUGCCAUCGGAUGUGCCCAGAUGGGAUUAGCUAGUAGGUGGGGUAACGGCUCACCUAGGCGACGAUCCCUAGCUGGUCUGAGAGGAUGACCAGCCACACUGGAACUGAGACACGGUCCAGACUCCUACGGGAGGCAGCAGUGGGGAAUAUUGCACAAUGGGCGCAAGCCUGAUGCAGCCAUGCCGCGUGUAUGAAGAAGGCCUUCGGGUUGUAAAGUACUUUCAGCGGGGAUGAAGGGAGUAAAGUUAAUACCUUUGCUCAUUGACGUUACCCGCAGAAGAAGCACCGGCUAACUCCUUGCCAGCAGCCCGCGGUUAUCCGGAGGGUGCAAGCGUUAAUCGGGAAUUACUGCGGCUUAAAGCGCACGCCGGCUGUUUGUUUAGUCAUAUGUUGAAAUCGCUGGGCUUCACCCGCGAACGUCACCGGAUCCUGCCACGCUUGCAUUCCCGUUCAGUCUGCUCGAAUCCUUUCCUAGUUGUGAAAUGUGUCUCAGUUUUGUUAUAUCCCGGCUGGUCAUGGUUGUGAGGUGCUUUCAUCUUUUUUUGAUGUUUUAUCCCCCCUUCUAACCCCCUCUUUUGCAGCCGGGCGUUCGGUGCUUUUAUUUGCUGCUCGUUGUGCUGGGGAGCUAAACUUCUUCUCCGCUUCGCGAAAAAAAAAAAAACAAAAAA
Molecule: ribosomal RNA, 858 nt
Filed under: Anoxybacillus kestanbolensis
Lineage: Bacteria; Bacillati; Bacillota; Bacilli; Caryophanales; Anoxybacillaceae
Description: partial 16S ribosomal RNA
Rfam family: Bacterial small subunit ribosomal RNA (bases 1-767)
Source: RNAcentral